UUCUGCGUAGUGAGGAGAGCUUUGCCUC
Molecule: small RNA, 28 nt
Filed under: Bombyx mori (domestic silkworm)
Lineage: Eukaryota; Metazoa; Arthropoda; Insecta; Lepidoptera; Bombycidae
Description: ovarian small RNA-37530
Source: RNAcentral